RNAcentral lists this long non-coding RNA (621 nucleotides) under Marmota monax (woodchuck). Lineage: Eukaryota; Metazoa; Chordata; Mammalia; Rodentia; Sciuridae. The record is from RNAcentral.
GAAAUAAAGGUAUUGUAUCCAACUACAACUAAAAAAAAUAUUUUUUUAAAAAAGGAAUGAGAUAGAUACCCAACUUAAUGUUCAUAAACAUUAUUAAGGAUAUUGACACUGUUAACCUUACUGAGCAACUAGAUUUUAAAGACUUAAAUAUGCAUCAUUAAGUGGAACUUGAAGUUCUAAUCAUUUGGUUACAGCUAAUUGGAAAAACUAAAUGACAGGUCUUAUGUUUAGCUCCUCAACUUGCCAUAUUGUUGAAUAGAUUAGUGUGAAAUAUGAAUGAAAAUGCUUUAAAAAGUCUUAUAUAUUUUGUCUUUCUGGAAUAUGAACAAUUGCUUUGUUAACACAGUCUGAAUUGGUUGGCCCAGUUUAUCUGACAAAAGGUGCAACCAAGUGACCAAAUUUUUUAAAAGCGGAAGCCAACACAGCUCUUAUAUGCCAGGCAUAUAAGAGUUAAAUACAUGUAACAAGGAUGAGGCAAAAAGAGGUUAACCUACUGGAGGUCAAAUAACUAGUAAGGAGUCCAACCCAUUGUCUUUCUUUUCUUUUUUGUGGUACUGGGGAUUGAACCCUGAGGUGUUUUACCGCUGAGCUACAUCUCCAACCUUUUUUUUGGUACCAGGA